Molecule: long non-coding RNA, 1217 nt
Organism: Haemorhous mexicanus (house finch)
Lineage: Eukaryota; Metazoa; Chordata; Aves; Passeriformes; Fringillidae
Exons: 2
Source: RefSeq, a predicted model, not a curated record
GAACAGUGGUACAGCCAACCCAGCCAAAAGCCUCCUACAAACCUGUUUUCUUCUUUUCUUUUUCCUACCCUUUUGUAGCCACAGGCAAGACUGCCUCAGAUCUCAUCUUUUAAGUGCCACAACCGAUCCAUUAAAUGUCUUCUCAUGGACAUUUUUUUCAGCUCCGAGGAGUAGAGUUGCUGAGUGAGAAAGGCAUGAGCCGGGCUCUUGCUGCUGGGACUUCCUCCAGACCAGCUUGCAGUCUUAAGAAAAAUGAGUUGGAUGGUCUCAGCUCUGUCCCCAAUGAGCAGAAGCAGUAGAUCACUUCGCAAAAAUGAGCCACGCGUAAUUUGGCACCAUUGACAGAAGACUCACUCGCAGCAGCUCAGGGCCUUGCAGGCUUGAGAUAAUGUGCUGCUAAAAUCACCUCUUGACCCCAGCCCAGGAGGUUCCUCCAGGUCACAAGGGAAGAGGGAGGUAGCAGGCCACUGUGAGAUACCUUGAUAAAUGUACAAGCCCCUACACGUCAGCCUGGCACGCCUGCACCAGUGUGAGCUGCUCUGUUUAUCACAGGAAGAAGAAUUUCUUUCCUGGGUUGUGUUAGAGGACUCCAGACUUCUCAUUUCGGCUGCCUCCUCCUUUUUCCCCUCCAGUGCAGCGAGCCCACUGAAGUGAACUGGUGGCCCUGACGGAGUGCAGAAGCAGGCUGCAUGCAUCUCCUUGUGCUGGAACUGGCAGAGAAAAUCGGACACUGGGACAAACAACCAUAAAUCAGGACUGUCCUGAUUAAAUCAGGCAUGGCUGGCAAAGUUGAGAUGAAGCUGCCUGGUCUGGUUUCCCUUACCUGUAGCUAUCAUGGGGACGAGAGAGAUGUACAUAAUAUGCCCAGAGGAUGCAGUCCUUAUUCCUGAGUUAAACUAAGACCUGGCUCUCUCAUAGGCUUUGAGCUCAGCUGAAUCUCCAUGCCCUCUUUUUUGUAGGGUCUUCAAUUGGCAGCAUUGCAAAUUGUUCCUUGUCUCAGAAACCUGUGAGGAGAAGGAAAGGAGCCCUUAAACCAGGAUACUGGGUUGAAAUUUUGCCUGUGCUUACAACAGUGUGUAACGGAUAUAACUCCCCUGAAGCUGGUGGUGAAGCUGCUAUUCUUCCCUCUGAACAAAUCGAUUCCUAUCUCUAAAAAUAAGUGAAUUAGAAAAGAAGUAAAGCUAGCAUUUAUAAAAUAAAUGUGUUUAUUUGGUAAA